CCUACGGGUGGCAGCAGUGAGGAAUAUUGGUCAAUGGACGAGAGUCUGAACCAGCCAAGUAGCGUGAAGGAUGACUGCCCUAUGGGUUGUAAACUUCUUUUAUAUGGGAAUAAAAUGUUCCACGUGUGGGAUUUUGUAUGUACCAUAUGAAUAAGGAUCGGUUAACUCCGUGCCAGCAGCCGCGGUAAUACGGAGGAUCCGAGCGUUAUACGGAUUUAUUGGGUUUAAAGGGAGCGUAGGUGGAUUGUUAAGUCAGUUGUGAAAGUUUGGGGCUCAACCGUAAAAUUGCAGUUGAAACUGGCAGUCUUGAGUACAGGAGAGGUGUGCGGAAUUCGUGGUGUAGCGGUGAAAUGCUUAGAUAUCGCGAAGAACUCCGAUUGCGAAGGCAGUUCACUGGACUGCAACUGACACUGAGGCUCGAAAGUGUGGGUAUCAAACAGGAUUAGAUACCCCUGUAGUC
Molecule: ribosomal RNA, 460 nt
Filed under: uncultured bacterium
Lineage: Bacteria
Description: partial 16S ribosomal RNA
Rfam family: Bacterial small subunit ribosomal RNA
Source: RNAcentral